This 253-nucleotide ribosomal RNA is filed under the name uncultured bacterium. RNAcentral's name for it is "partial 16S ribosomal RNA". It matches the Rfam family "Bacterial small subunit ribosomal RNA", at positions 524 to 776 of the family's 1533-position model. The record is from RNAcentral.
UACGAAGGGGGCUAGCGUUGCUCGGAAUUACUGGGCGUAAAGCGCACGUAGGCGGUCUUUUAAGUCGGGGGUGAAAUCCUGGAGCUCAACUCCAGAACUGCCUUAGAUACUGGAAGACUUGAGUCCGGGAGAGGUGAGUGGAACUGCGAGUGUAGAGGUGAAAUUCGUAGAUAUUCGCAAGAACACCAGUGGCGAAGGCGGCUCACUGGCCCGGUACUGACGCUGAGGUGCGAAAGCGUGGGGAGCAAACAGG